CGAGGACGCCCCUGCCAAGCCCCUUUUACGUCCCGGCGGUCGCGAGGAGGUCCCCCGGGCGCGAAGAAGACGCCAGCCCACCCCAGCCGCCGGGGAGAUCGCCCAGGCCGCGCUCAGCCCCGCCCCUGGCUCUGCCCCCGCCGCGGAGCGGAACCCUCCAAGUCGCGGCCUGAGGAGGAAGGAAAAGGGGGCGGCCCGGGAGAGCCGCUGCGAAAUCAGCAACGGGCGGGAACCAGGUUGCCUCCCUGAGUCCCUUCUCUCCCCGGCCGGCUGCCAACCACAGCCAAGGCCAGAGAAACAGGCCCUUCUGCCGCGGCCACCUGGGCGCCUUGGACCCGCCCUCCGGACUCGCCCCCGCCCCUGCCGCGGAGUGGAACGUUUGGAACCCUGAGGGGCACAGACAGGAGGUCUUUCUGUGUUGCCCAGGAUGGACUCCAAUUUCCUGGCUCAAGCGAUCCUCCUGCCUCCGCCUCCCAAGUAGCUGGGACUACAGGUGCUUGCCUGGCUUGCUUCACCAUUUUCAGUAAGAACGAUCAUGAUGCUGCUCACUGAAGUCAGCAGACUUCCUUUGUGGGGUUAAUGACUGCAGUGUGUUUUGAGGAAAAACAAAACAAAACAAAAAAAAACUACUCCAAUAUUUUGAGGAAAUACUUCUUUAAAUACUGGCCUCUGCCCUGACACUCCUUGCCUCCUAAUAUUGGCACCACCUCUGUUUCCUUACAAUAGAGUCUCAGAACAUGGGAUCAAUCUUAGACCCAAAGGAGGAUGCUUCUCAGAAACACUCUCUGUCCUGCCGUACGUCUGUCUAAACUCCUCUAGCAAUUCCGAUGUGAAAAGAAGAUGGAUGGAGAAGCACUGAUUCAGCCAUGGCUGACAUGUCGGAGUUGGAAUGGACAGUGCCCGGACCUCACAGUCUCAGAGAACUGGAGAAGAGUAAAGCUGAAGAGGGCAUCAUCUGGUUACAAAUGACAAGUCCAGGGCUCCAGAACUCAGGCCAUGUAGAGAGGCCACAUGGGAACUGAGGUUCCUAGUCCUCAGCUUCCACUGAGCUCCCAGCCAACAGCCAGCAAUAACUUGCCAGAUGUGUGCACAGGCCAUCCUGGAAGCAGAGGAUCCAGCCCUCAGCCAAGAUGCCCCAGUUGAUUCCAUGUGAACUAGGAAUGAGCCCUCCUGCUGAGCUCUGCCCAAAUUACAGAUCUGUGAGCAAACUAAAUGACAGUUGUAUUAAGCUACACAGAAAUAGAUAACUGGAAUACCA
Molecule: long non-coding RNA, 1258 nt
Filed under: Homo sapiens (human)
Lineage: Eukaryota; Metazoa; Chordata; Mammalia; Primates; Hominidae
Description: HSALNT0407093
Source: RNAcentral